AGGGAUCAUUAAAGAGUGUAAUAACUCCCAAACCCAUGUGAACAUACCUCAUGUUGCCUCGGCAGGUCGCGCCCCCUCGUAGGCCCUACCCUGUAAGGCUUACCCGGAAGGCGCGGGUACUCCUGCCGGCGGCCCACGAAACUCUGUCUCAUCGUUGAAUUCUGAACCUAUAACUAAAUAAGUUAAAACUUUCAACAACGGAUCUCUUGGUUCUGGCAUCGAUGAAGAACGCAGCGAAAUGCGAUAAGUAAUGUGAAUUGCAGAAUUCAGUGAAUCAUCGAAUCUUUGAACGCACAUUGCGCCCAUUAGUAUUCUAGUGGGCAUGCCUGUUCGAGCGUCAUUUCAACCCUUAAGCCCUUGUUGCUUAGCGUUGGGAGCCUACGGCACCGUAGCUCCCCAAAGUCAGUGGUAGAGUCGGCUCACACUCUAGACGUAGUAAUUUCUCACCUCGCC
Molecule: unclassified non-coding RNA, 453 nt
Filed under: uncultured Xylaria
Lineage: Eukaryota; Fungi; Ascomycota; Sordariomycetes; Xylariales; Xylariaceae
Description: sequence contains ITS1, 5.8S rRNA gene, ITS2
Rfam family: 5.8S ribosomal RNA (bases 187-340)
Source: RNAcentral